This 714-nucleotide long non-coding RNA is filed under the name Homo sapiens (human). RNAcentral's name for it is "HSALNT0384147". The record is from RNAcentral. Lineage: Eukaryota; Metazoa; Chordata; Mammalia; Primates; Hominidae.
CAAGCCCUUUCUUCCUGUUCCUCCUGCUCAGGUUGAGGCUUCACUUUCCAUGGAGAGAGGCCCCUUCCUGCACCCUGGGGAGGGAGGCUGUCCACAGGUAGGGCCAGGCCCGGUCAGUGGUGCAUGGCCUGAGUAGGGUGGGGGGGCACGGGACCCCUGGAAGGUGAGAGACCAAGAGCCUUAGCUGGUCUGGGGGCUGGUGUGGGGGCGAGCAGAGCCAGUCCCGCCCUUCCCAGCAAGUGAGGACGACCAUGACCUGGUUCCUGGAAGGCGGAACAAGGAGUGGCGGGAUUUCUGCAGGUGUGACCGGGGUUUCUAAUCAGGUGACUUGGCGUUCAUCAGAAGGGAGGUUGAUCUGGCCGAGCCUGGCUAGCUCAGGUGCACCCUUUAAGAGGCUGGAAGCCACAGAGCCGCCCCCUCCUGAUGCCAAAGAAGCAUAUGGCCAUCGGCUCCACAGCUGCGAGAAAGAUUAUGCACACAACGACAUGCGCUCAGGAGGGGACCUCGCGCCUCGGUUGAGAUCCCAGCCCUGGCUGACACCUUGAGUGCAGCCUGUGAGACCCUGAGCAGAGGUUCAGCAGUCCCCUCCCCGGACUCCUGCCACACAGAAGCCAUGAGCUGACAGAACCAAGGACACACACCUUGUUAACGACGCCCUCAAGGCUGUGAGGAGAAAGACAACCGGGUGAAGCAACGCUGGGAAUUCAACGCAUC